UACAGAGGUCUCAAGCGUUGUUCGGAUUCAUUGGGCGUAAAGGGUGCGUAGGCGGCGCGGUAAGUCGGGUGUGAAAUCUCGGAGCUUAACUCCGAAACUGCAUUCGAUACUGCCGUGCUUGAGGACUGGAGAGGAGACUGGAAUUCACGGUGUAGCGGUGAAAUGCGUAGAUAUCGUGAGGAAGACCAGUGGCGAAGGCGGGUCUCUGGACAGUUCCUGACGCUGAGGCACGAAGGCCAGGGGAGCAAACGGG
Molecule: ribosomal RNA, 253 nt
Filed under: uncultured bacterium
Lineage: Bacteria
Description: partial 16S ribosomal RNA
Rfam family: Bacterial small subunit ribosomal RNA
Source: RNAcentral